UGCGAAGGGUGCAAGCGUUACUCGGAAUUACUGGGCGUAAAGCGUGCGUAGGUGGUUCGUUAAGUCUGAUGUGAAAGCCCUGGGCUCAACCUGGGAAUGGCAUUGGAAACUGGCGACCUAGAGUGCGGUAGAGGGUAGUGGAAUUCCCGGUGUAGCAGUGAAAUGCGUAGAGAUCGGGAGGAACAUCUGUGGCGAAGGCGACUACCUGGACCAGCACUGACACUGAGGCACGAAAGCGUGGGGAGCAAACAGG
This 253-nucleotide ribosomal RNA is filed under the name uncultured bacterium. RNAcentral's name for it is "partial 16S ribosomal RNA". It matches the Rfam family "Bacterial small subunit ribosomal RNA", at positions 524 to 776 of the family's 1533-position model. The record is from RNAcentral.